AAUAAAUUUAGGUAGUCUUAUGGUAGAAGAAAUCUUUAAUUAGUGGUAGGAAAUGUUGUUUUCAAGUGUAUUGAGUGAAUUGAUUGUAAUAUACUAAACAUUUGAUUUGUUCUUUGUCCCUAACUCUGAUGCAUGAGAGGAGAGAGGAGAAUGAAAGGCACCUGACGCUGGAGCGCCCAUAAGACAGAUACGAAGAUAAAUGGCUGUGCUGCAACAAGAGGGGGCUUGCGGAUGAGAGGCUCACCAGGUCCUGCUCCCAUUUGACAGGCCAGUACAGUUUUAUCUACAAACUCUUCUCCUAUGUGUCUGCUGCUACUUAGUUGUACAUACACACAUUUAUAGUGGGAACACAUUUAGUUGGGUGUAUAUAUUUAUUUGUGCUAGACAAUAAGAGCAGUAGUUUUGUGGGUAAAAAGAAAGGCUUGGCAAUAGACUGACCAGUUGAAAGGGCUGAUUAAGUACCGUAGUAUUGUUGAAUCAAAAGAGCAUUUCCAAAGGUCUAAAUUUUGCUGAAACGUGUGGAUGUGGUUUGUCAUUGCUGCUCGGUAAAAUCACACAGAUUGAUCUUUUACGGGUGUUGAUAAGUUUUAGGCCUCAGGGGAGGCUUCAUGAGAAGCACUAGGGGACAAUCGCGCCCACUCAGAGGCCCUGUAAACCCUGAUAGGGGGACAGAACCUGGAUUUUAGGGGUGCCCAGAAGACCUAAAAGGGGGGUGUCAGCUGGUAGUGUCAGGGCCAGAACAAGAGCCAACCAUUGAGGUGAAAGUGAAUGAUAAACCAUUGACAGUUAUGGCAGAUUGCGGAGCUGCUUUCACCUGUGUUGAGAAUAAUUUUAAAGUGGGGAAAAGUUUAAUAAAAAAAAUCCUGAGUACACCCCAUAAUGUCCUCAAUGAGCUGAAUUUUUGAAGCCCAGAAUAGUUUCUGUAGCUCAAAGUUUGUGGGUGGAGAUAGGUGGUGAUGCAGACACAUAUUAACUGUGUGUACAUGCAGGUCUUUUAGACAGUGUGUGUAUGGGUGCUGAGCUGUGUGUGUGAGGGCAAAAGAGUCUGUGUGCAGUGAGUGGUGUGUGCACAAAGUUGGGGAAUGGUCUAGCAUAAAUAUAAGUGAUUAACUUAUGAUAAAGUGAUGAAUGAUGUCUUAUUAAAUAUAUAAUGAUAUGAUAUAAGAAAUUCACAUAUAAGGGAAGAGAUACUGUUGCCUUUGUAGUGUUAAAAACAUAUGAGCCCUGUUUUUCUUUGUACAGGGACGUUAAUAGAAUAAGUAACUGCUAUGAGCCUCUCAGGAUAAAGAGGACGUUUGUACACCUAAUAGUAAGAAAUGAGCCCCUUAUUAGAUGAGGAGGACUUUGGAUGGUGAUAACAUCCUCGAUUAAAAUGGCAACUAAAGAAGUGUACACAAGCACAUUUGUGUUCAUACAGAUACAGGGAAAAAACAGAGUGGGGUAAAAUGAAAUGAUUUGCUAACUGAUGGGUAUGGUUUUCCUCUGUGUGUGUGUGAAUAUUUAAAGUGAAUGGUCACUUGCUGAUGAUUAUGUUUAGAGGGAAAAUCCCAGUUAAAAAUUGGAAAAAUCCAGGGAGCUUUCUCUUCUUACAGGCCUGAGAACAGAAAGAAAGCUAAAAAAUCUAGUUUAACUAUCCUAGAUGUGUGAAAAUUUUAAAUGGUAUACCAUGGUAAAGGGGAAUGGUGUAUAAUAAAUUUAGGUAGUCUUAUGGUAGAAGAAAUCUUUAAUUAGUGGUAGGAAAUGUUGUUUUCAAGUGUAUUGAGUGAAUUGAUUGUAAUAUACUAAACAUUUGAUUUGUUCUUUGUCCCUAACUCUGAUGCAUGAGAGGAGAGAGGAGAAUGAAAGGCACCUGACGCUGGAGCGCCCAUAAGACAGAUGUUGCUGUGCUGCAACAAGAGGGGGCUUGCGGAUGAGAGGCUCACCAGGUCCUGCUCCCAUUUGACAGGCCAGUACAGUUUUAUCUACAAACUCUUCUCCUAUGUGUCUGCUGCUACUUAGUUGUACAUACACACAUUUAUAGUGGGAACACAUUUAGUUGGGUGUAUAUAUUUAUUAGUGCUAGACAAUAAGAGCAGUAGUUUUGUGGGUAAAAAGAAAGGCUUGGCAAUAGACUGACCAGUUGAAAGGGCUGAUUAAGUACCGUAGUAUUGUUGAAUAAAAAGAGCAUUUCCAAGAGGUCUUAAUUUUGCUGAAACGUGUGGAUGUGGUUUGUCAUUGCUGCUUGGUAAAAUCACACAGAUUGAUCUUUUACGGGUGUUGAUAAGUUUUAGGCCUCAGGGGAGGCUUCAUGAGAAGCACUAGGGGACAAUCGCGCCCACUCAGAGGACCUGUAAACCCUGAUAGGGGGACAGAACCUGGAUUUUAGGGGUGCCCAGAAGACCUAAAAGGGGGGUGUCAGCUGGUAGUGUCAGGGCCAGAACAAGAGCCAACCAUUGAGGUGAAAGUGAAUGAUAAACCAUUGACAGUUAUGGCAGAUUGCGGAGCUGCUUUCACCUGUGUUGAGAAUAAUUUUAAAGUGGGGAAAAGUUUAAUAAAAAAAAUCCUGAGUACACCCCAUAAUGUCCUCAAUGAGCUGAAUUUUUGAAGCCCAGAAUAGUUUCUGUAGCUCAAAGUUUGUGGGUGGAGAUAGGUGGUGAUGCAGACACAUAUUAACUGUGUGUACAUGAAGUUCUUUUAGACACAGACACACACACACACACACACACACACACACACACACACACACACACACACAUUGCCACACUGUGUGUGUGUGUGUGUGUGUGGUUAAUGAUUGCAUCCUAAACAGCUGUGAGAUUAAAGGCAUUAACUGACCGACUGUUUGAAUGAGAAGCUGCCUCUGGACUUUCUCACAUAGUACGAUUUUCUUAUAACUAUAGUAAGGAAACAUUGAGCUCUGUGAGGAGAGGUGUGCUGAAGUUUGAGUGUGUCAGAGAAGCUUCUGGUGUGUGUGUGUGAGAGGAGUGUGUGUAUGGGUGCUGAGCUGUGUGUGUGAGGGCAAAAGAGUCUGUGUGCAGUGAGUGGUGUGUGCACAAAGUUGGGGAAUGGUCUAGCAUAAAUAUAAGUGAUUAACUUAUGAUAAAGUGAUGAAUGAUGUCUUAUUAAAUAUAUAAUGAUAUGAUAUAAGAAAUUCACAUAUAAGGGAAGAGAUACUGUUGCCUUUGUAGUGUUAAAAACAUAUGAGCCCUGUUUUUCUUUGUACAGGGACGUUAAUAGAAUAAGUAACUGCUAUGAGCCUCUCAGGAUAAAGAGGACGUUUGUACACCUAAUAGUAAGAAAUGAGCCCCUUAUUAGAUGAGGAGGACUUUGGAUGGUGAUAACAUCCUCGAUUAAAAUGGCAACUAAAGAAGUGUACACAAGCACAUUUGUGUUCAUACAGAUACAGGGAAAAAACAGAGUGGGGUAAAAUGAAAUGAUUUGCUAACUGAUGGGUAUGGUUUUCCUCUGUGUGUGUGUGAAUAUUUAAAGUGAAUGGUCACUUGCUGAUGAUUAUGUUUAGAGGGAAAAUCCCAGUUAAAAAUUGGAAAAAUCCAGGGAGCUUUCUCUCCCGCUUUCUUUCUCUUCUUACAGGCCUGAGAACAGAAAGAAAGCUAAAAAAUCUAGUUUAACGAUCCUAGAUGUGUGAAAAUUUUAAAUGGUAUACCAUGGUAAAGGGGAAUGGUGUAUAAUAAAUUUAGGUAGUCUUAUGGUAGAAGAAAUCUUUAAUUAGUGGUAGGAAAUGUUGUUUUCAAGUGUAUUGAGUGAAUUGAUUGUAAUAUACUAAACAUUUGAUUUGUUCUUUGUCCCUAACUCUGAUGCAUGAGAGGAGAGAGGAGAAUGAAAGGCACCUGACGCUGGAGCGCCCAUAAGACAGAUGUUGCUGUGCUGCAACAAGAGGGGGCUUGCGGAUGAGAGGCUCACCAGGUCCUGCUCCCAUUUGACAGGCCAGUACAGUUUUAUCUACAAACUCUUCUCCUAUGUGUCUGCUGCUACUUAGUUGUACAUACACACAUUUAUAGUGGGAACACAUUUAGUUGGGUGUAUAUAUUUAUUAGUGCUAGACAAUAAGAGCAGUAGUUUUGUGGGUAAAAAGAAAGGCUUGGCAAUAGACUGACCAGUUGAAAGGGCUGAUUAAGUACCGUAGUAUUGUUGAAUUAAAAGAGCAUUUCCAAAGGUCUAAAUUUUGCUGAAACGUGUGGAUGUGGUUUGUCAUUGCUGCUUGGUAAAAUCACACAGAUUGAUCUUUUACGGGUGUUGAUAAGUUUUAGGCCUCAGGGGAUGCUUCAUGAGAAGCACUAGGGGACAAUCGCGCCCACUCAGAGGACCUGUAAACCCUGAUAGGGGGACAGAACCUGGAUUUUAGGGGUGCCCAGAAGACCUAAAAGGGGGGUGUCAGCUGGUAGUGUCAGGGCCAGAACAAGAGCCAACCAUUGAGGUGAAAGUGAAUGAUAAACCAUUGACAGUUAUGGCAGAUUGCGGAGCUGCUUUCACCUGUGUUGAGAAUCAUUUUAAAGUGGGGAAAAUUUAAAAAAAAAAAUCCUUAGUACACCCCAUAAUGUCCUCAAUGAGCUGAAUUUUUGAAGCCCAGAAUAGUUUCUGUAGCUCAAAGUUUGUGGGUGGAGAUAGGUGGUGAUGCAGACACAUAUUAACUGUGUGUACAUGCAGGUCUUUUAGACAGUGUGUGUAUGGGUGCUGAGCUGUGUGUGUGAGGGCAAAAGAGUCUGUGUGCAGUGAGUGGUGUGUGCACAAAGUUGGGGAAUGGUCUAGCAUAAAUAUAAGUGAUUAACUUAUGAUAAAGUGAUAAAUGAUGUCUUAUUAAAUAUAUACUGAUAUGAUAUAAGAAAUUCACAUAUAAGGGAAGAGAUUCUGUUGCCUUUGUAGUGUUAAAAACAUAUGAGCCCUGUUUUUCUUUGUACAGGGACGUUAAUAGAAUAAGUAACUGCUAUGAGCCUCUCAGGAUAAAGAGGACGUUUGUACACCUAAUAGUAAGAAAUGAGCCCCUUAUUAGAUGAGGAGGACUUUGGAUGGUGAUAACAUCCUCGAUUAAAAUGGCAACUAAAGAAGUGUACACAAGCACAUUAGUGUUCAUACAGAUACAGGGAAAAAACAGAGUAACAGAGUGGGGUAAAAUAAAAUGAUUUUCUAACUGAUGGGUAUGGUUUUCCUCUGUGUGUGUGUGAAUAUUUAAAGUGAAUGGUCACUUGCUGAUGAUUAUGUUUAGAGGGAAAAUCCCAGUUAAAAAUUGGAAAAAUCCAUGGAGCUUUCUCUUCUUACAGGCCUGAGAACAGAAAGAAAGCUAAAAAAUCUAGUUUAACUAUCCUAGAUGUGUGAAAAUUUUAAAUGGUAUACCAUGGUAAAGGGGAAUGGUGUAUAAUAAAUUUAGGUAGUCUUAUGGUAGAAGAAAUCUUUAAUUAGUGGUAGGAAAUGUUGUUUUCAAGUGUAUUGAGUGAAUUGAUUGUAAUAUACUAAACAUUUGAUUUGUUCUUUGUCCCUAACUCUGAUGCAUGAGAGGAGAGAGGAGAAUGAAAGGCACCUGACGCUGGAGCGCCCAUAAGACAGAUGUUGCUGUGCUGCAACAAGAGGGGGCUUGCAGAUGAGAGGCUCACCAGGUCCUGCUCCCAUUUGACAGGCCAGUACAGUUUUAUCUACAAACUCUUCUCCUAUGUGUCUGCUGCUACUUAGUUGUACAUACACACAUUUAUAGUGGGAACACAUUUAGUUGGGUGUAUAUAUUUAUUAGUGCUAGACAAUAAGAGCAGUAGUUUUGUGGGUAAAAAGAAAGGCUUGGCAAUAGACUGACCAGUUGAAAGGGCUGAUUAAGUACCGUAGUAUUGUUGAAUUAAAAGAGCAUUUCCAAAGGUCUAAAUUUUGCUGAAACGUGUGGAUGUGGUUUGUCAUUGCUGCUCGGUAAAAUCACACAGAUUGAUCUUUUACGGGUGUUGAUAAGUCUUAGGCCUCAGGGGAGGCUUCAUGAGAAGCACUAGGGGACAAUCGCGCCCACUCAGAGGACCUGUAAACCCUGAUAGGGGGACAGAACCUGGAUUUUAGGGGUGCCCAGAAGACCUAAAAGGGGGGUGUCAGCUGGUAGUGUCAGGGCCAGAACAAGAGCCAACCAUUGAGGUGAAAGUGAAUGAUAAACCAUUGACAGUUAUGGCAGAUUGCGGAGCUGCUUUCACCUGUGUUGAGAAUAAUUUAAAGUGGGGAAAAGUUUAAAAAAAAAAUCCUGAGUACACCCCAUAAUGUCCUCAAUGAGCUGAAUUUUUGAAGCCCAGAAUAGUUUCUGUAGCUCAAAGUUUGUGGGUGGAGAUAGGUGAUGAUGCAGACACAUACUAACUGUGUGUACAUGCAGGUCUUUUAGACACAGACACACAUGCACACACAUUGCCAGACUGUAUGUGUGUGUGUGUGUGUGGUUAAUGAUUGCAUCCUAAACAGCUGUGAGAUUAAAGGCAUUAACUGACCGACUGUUUGAAUGAGAAGCUGCCUCUGGACUUCUUCACAUAGUACGAUUUCCUUAUAACUAUAGUAAGGAAACAUUGAGCUCUGUGAGGAGAGGUGUGCUGAAGUUUGAGUGUGUGAGAGAAGCUUCUGGUGUGUGUGUGAGAGGAGUGUGUGUAUGGGUGCUGAGCUGUGUGUGUGAGGGCAAAAGAGUCUGUGUGCAGUGAGUGGUGUGUGCACAAAGUUGGGGAAUGGUCUAGCAUAAAUAUAAGUGAUUAACUUAUGAUAAAGUGAUGAAUGAUGUCUUAUUAAAUAUAUAAUGAUAUGAUAUAAGAAAUUCACAUAUAAGGGAAGAGAUACUGUUGCCUUUGUAGUGUUAAAAACAUAUGAGCCCUGUUUUUCUUUGUACAGGGACGUUAAUAGAAUAAGUAACUGCUAUGAGCCUCUCAGGAUAAAGAGGACGUUUGUACACCUAAUAGUAAGAAAUGAGCCCCUUAUUAGAUGAGGAGGACUUUGGAUGGUGAUAACAUCCUCGAUUAAAAUGGCAACUAAAGAAGUGUACAUAAGCACAUUAGUGUUCAUAUAGAUACAGGGAAAAAACAGAGUGGGGUAAAAUGGAAUGAUUUGCUAACUGAUGGGUAUGGUUUUCCUCUGUGUGUGUGUGAAUAUUUAAAGUGAAUGGUCACUUGCUGAUGAUUAUGUUUAGAGGGAAAGUCCCAGUUAAAAAUUGGAAAAAUCCAGGGAGCUUUCUCUCCCGCUUUCUUUCUCUUCUUACAGGCCUGAGAACAGAAAGAAAGCUAAAAAAUCUAGUUUAACUAUCCUAGAUGUGUGGGAAAUUUUAAAUGGUAUACCAUGGUAAAGGGGAAUGGUGUAUAAUAAAUUUAGGUAGUCUUAUGGUAGAAGAAAUCUUUAAAUAGUGGUAGGAAAUGUUGUUUUCAAGUGUAUUGAGUGAAUUGAUUGUAAUAUACUAAACAUUUGAUUUGUUCUUUGUCCCUAACUCUGAUGCAUGAGAGGAGAGAGGAGAAUGAAAGGCACCUGACGCUGGAGCGCCCAUAAGACAGAUGUUGCUGUGCUGCAACAAGAGGGGGCUUGCGGAUGAGAGGCUCACCAGGUCCUGCUCCCAUUUGACAGGCCAGUACAGUUUUAUCUACAAACUCUUCUCCUAUGUGUCUGCUGCUACUUAGUUGUACAUACACACAUUUAUAGUGGGAACACAUUUAGUUGGGUGUAUAUAUUUAUUAGUGCUAGACAAUAAGAGCAGUAGUUUUGUGGGUAAAAAGAAAGGCUUGGCAAUAGACUGACCAGUUGAAAGGGCUGAUUAACUACCGUAGUAUUGUUGAAUCAAAAGAGCAUUUCCAAAGGUCUAAAUUUUGCUGAAACGUGUGGAUGUGGUUUGUCAUUGCUGCUCGGUAAAAUCACACAGAUUGAUCUUUUACGGGUGUUGAUAAGUUUUAGGCCUCAGGGGAGGCUUCAUGAGAAGCACUAGGGGACAAUCGCGCCCACUCAGAGGACCUGUUAACCCUGAUAGGGGGACAGAACCUGGAUUUUAGGGGUGCCCAGAAGACCUAAAAGGGGGGUGUCAGCUGGUAGUGUCAGGGCCAGAACAAGAGCCAACCAUUGAGGUGAAAGUGAAUGAUAAACCAUUGACAGUUAUGGCAGAUUGCGGAGCUGCUUUCACCUGUGUUGAGAAUAAUUUUAAAGUGGGGAAAAGUUUAAUAAAAAAAAUCCUGAGUACACCCCAUAAUGUCCUCAAUGAGCUGAAUUUUUGAAGCCCAGAAUAGUUUCUGUAGCUCAAAGUUUGUGGGUGGAGAUAGGUGGUGAUGCAGACACAUAUUAACUGUGUGUACAUGCAGGUCUUUUAGACACAGACACACACACACACACAUUGCCAGACUGUAUGUGUGUGUGUGUGUCGUUAAUGAUUGCAUCUUAAACAGCUGUGAGAUUAAAGGCAUUUACUGACCGACUGUUUGAAUGAGAAGCUGCCUCUGGACUUCCUCACAUAGUACGAUUUCCUAUAACUAUAGUAAGGAAACAUUGAGCUCUGUGAGGAGAGGUGUGCUGAAGUUUGAGUGUGUGAGAGAAGCUUCUGGUGUGUGUGUGAGAGGAGUGUGUGUAUGGGUGCUGAGCUGUGUGUGUGAGGGCAAAAGAGUCUGUGUGCAGUGAGUGGUGUGUGCACAAAGUUGGGGAAUGGUCUAGCAUAAAUAUAAGUGAUUAACUUAUGAUAAAGUGAUAAAUGAUGUCUUAUUAAAUAUAUACUGAUAUGAUAUAAGAAAUUCACAUAUAAGGGAAGAGAUUCUGUUGCCUUUGUAGUGUUAAAAACAUAUGAGCCCUGUUUUUCUUUGUACAGGGACGUUAAUAGAAUAAGUAACUGCUAUGAGCCUCUCAGGAUAAAGAGGACGUUUGUACACCUAAUAGUAAGAAAUGAGCCCCUUAUUAGAUGAGGAGGACUUUGGAUGGUGAUAACAUCCUCGAUUAAAAUGGCAACUAAAGAAGUGUACACAAGCACAUUAGUGUUCAUACAGAUACAGGGAAAAAACAGAGUAACAGAGUGGGGUAAAAUAAAAUGAUUUUCUAACUGAUGGGUAUGGUUUUCCUCUGUGUGUGUGUGAAUAUUUAAAGUGAAUGGUCACUUGCUGAUGAUUAUGUUUAGAGGGAAAAUCCCAGUUAAAAAUUGGAAAAAUCCAGGGAGCUUUCUCUCCCGCUUUCUUUCUCUUCUUACAGGCCUGAGAACAGAAAGAAAGCUAAAAAAUCUAGUUUAACGAUCCUAGAUGUGUGAAAAUUUUAAAUGGUAUACCAUGGUAAAGGGGAAUGGUGUAUAAUAAAUUUAGGUAGUCUUAUGGUAGAAGAAAUCUUUAAUUAGUGGUAGGAAAUGUUGUUUUCAAGUGUAUUGAGUGAAUUGAUUGUAAUAUACUAAACAUUUGAUUUGUUCUUUGUCCCUAACUCUGAUGCAUGAGAGGAGAGAGGAGAAUGAAAGGCACCUGACGCUGGAGCGCCCAUAAGACAGAUAAGAAGAUAAAUGGCUGUGCUGCAACAAGAGGGGGCUUGCGGAUGAGAGGCUCACCAGGUCCUGCUUGUUGAAAUAAAAGAGCAUUUCCAAAGGUCUAAAUUUUGCUGAAACGUAUGAAUGUGGUUUGUCAUUGCUGCUUGGUAAAAUCACAC
This is a non-coding RNA of Xyrichtys novacula (pearly razorfish), 9579 nucleotides long. The record is from the annotation of a GenBank genome assembly. NCBI's taxonomy places the organism in Eukaryota, Metazoa, Chordata, Actinopteri, Labriformes, Labridae.